Molecule: ribosomal RNA, 400 nt
Filed under: phytoplankton environmental sample
Lineage: Eukaryota
Description: partial small subunit ribosomal RNA
Rfam family: Eukaryotic small subunit ribosomal RNA
Source: RNAcentral
AGCUCCAAUAGCGUAUAUUAAAGUUGCUGCAGUUAAAAAGCUCGUAGUUGGAUUUGUGGGAUGGCCGUCCGGCGGGGGGCCUUUCAUGGUCCCGUUUGUCCUGGUUUUCGGCCUUCCCUUUCUCGGGUCUAGCGUAUUGGCUGGCAUUAGGUUGUCGGCGGCUUCGCGCCCGUCUUUUACUGUGAAAAAAUUAGAGUGUUCAAAGCAGGCUUAGGCCGUUGGAUAUAUUAGCAUGGAAUAAUGAGAUAAGGCCGCGGUGGUCUUUUCUGUUGGUUUGCCACACGCCGCAAUGGUAAAAAGGAACAGUUGGGGGUAUUCGUAUUCAACUGUCAGAGGUGAAAUUCUUGGAUUUGUGGAAGACGAACUACUGCGAAAGCAUUUACCAAGGAUGUUUUCAUUA